Carya illinoinensis is the source of this 801-nucleotide long non-coding RNA. RefSeq lists it as uncharacterized. Lineage: Eukaryota; Viridiplantae; Streptophyta; Magnoliopsida; Fagales; Juglandaceae. The record is from RefSeq and is a predicted model, not a curated record. The transcript is spliced from 2 exons.
CUACGUGGCUGCUCUUUUUUUUUUUUUUUUUUUGUUAACCAUACGCACACGUUGCGCAGGAAAUUUACUUUCCCGAUUUAAAUUUCCCCCACCCGCCUCGCUCGAAACCCCUCCUCCCUCGCCCGCGUCACAUUCCACCAGCGCAACCAGGCAACGCUGCUCGUUCCUCCUCUGUCGCCCCUCGAAUUUACACUUCUCGUGUCAACCCAGUACCCACGUAGCCGUCGCCCCUCCUCUGCCAGCACCCUGUUUCGCCGUCACCCCUCCUGUUGUGCCCAGCGUCGCUGCCAGCAUGUUGCGAUCAAUGGCUCUGAAAGUUGUGAGUGAAGAAUCAUGGCCCCAUAUUGUUCGGCGGGCCCAAGCCCUAAUAAGAGUGCGAGCUUUCUCGGCCACCAUGUUACCUCCAUCCAAGGCCGUUGUCUACGAUCACCACGGUCCACCAGAUUCUGUCACCAGUGUAAGCAUCAGUUAGUUGCAAGGCUAGCUUUGUCGUUGGGAGCUUUUAUUGGAGUUAAGGUGUCUGAUGAGCAGCAGGCAGUACUGCUAUCAAAACUCUGAAGUCCUUUUGCAUUCAGUUUGAUGUGGAGCAUAAGCAAAUAACAUGGUUGCUGUGUUUAUCCAAUCAGAUCUUGGUGGUAAUGUGGACAACUAUUUUAAAGUAUAAUUCUGGUAUGCUCGGUUGUAAUGCUUGGCUGUAAUUGUGGACAAAUCUUGGUUGUAGUUGUGAACAAAUAUUGUUAAGUGUAAUGCUGUGGACAGAUUGGUUAUUGUAAUUCUAGAAAUAUUUUGGUUGUUAGUUUA